RNAcentral lists this ribosomal RNA (467 nucleotides) under uncultured bacterium. Its description in RNAcentral is "partial 16S ribosomal RNA". It matches the Rfam family "Bacterial small subunit ribosomal RNA", at positions 28 to 506 of the family's 1533-position model. The record is from RNAcentral.
GACGAACGCUGGCGGCGUGCUUAACACAUGCAAGUCGAACGGAAAGGCCCUGCUUUUGUGGGGUGCUCGAGUGGCGAACGGGUGAGUAACACGUGAGUAACCUGCCCUUGACUUUGGGAUAACUUCAGGAAACUGGGGCUAAUACCGGAUAGGAGCUCCUGCUGCAUGGUGGGGGUUGGAAAGUUUCGGCGGUUGGGGAUGGACUCGCGGCUUAUCAGCUUGUUGGUGGGGUAGUGGCUUACCAAGGCUUUGACGGGUAGCCGGCCUGAGAGGGUGACCGGCAACAUGGGGAUUGAGAUACGGCCCAGACUCCUACGGGAGGAAGCAGUGGGGAAUAUUGCACAAUGGGCGGAAGCCUGAUGCAGCAACGCCGCGUGCGGGAUGACGGCCUUCGGGUUGUAAACCGCUUUCGCCUGUGACGAAGCGUGGGUGACGGUAAUGGGUAAAGAAGCACCGGCAAACUACGU